This 1339-nucleotide ribosomal RNA is filed under the name Chryseobacterium indologenes. RNAcentral describes it as "bacterial SSU rRNA". It matches the Rfam family "Bacterial small subunit ribosomal RNA", at positions 99 to 1444 of the family's 1533-position model. Lineage: Bacteria; Pseudomonadati; Bacteroidota; Flavobacteriia; Flavobacteriales; Weeksellaceae. The record is from RNAcentral.
CGUACGGGUGCGGAACACGUUGUGCAACCUGCCUUUAUCAGGGGGAUAGCCUUUCGAAAGGAAGAUUAAUACCCCAUAAUAUAUUGAAUGGCAUCAUUUAAUAUUGAAAACUCCGGUGGAUAGAGAUGGGCACGCGCAAGAUUAGAUAGUUGGUGAGGUAACGGCUCACCAAGUCUACGAUCUUUAGGGGGCCUGAGAGGGUGAUCCCCCACACUGGUACUGAGACACGGACCAGACUCCUACGGGAGGCAGCAGUGAGGAAUAUUGGACAAUGGGUGCGAGCCUGAUCCAGCCAUCCCGCGUGAAGGACGACGGCCCUAUGGGUUGUAAACUUCUUUUGUGUAGGGAUAAACCUAGAUACGUGUAUCUAGCUGAAGGUACUAUACGAAUAAGCACCGGCUAACUCCGUGCCAGCAGCCGCGGUAAUACGGAGGGUGCAAGCGUUAUCCGGAUUUAUUGGGUUUAAAGGGUCCGUAGGCGGAUUUGUAAGUCAGUGGUGAAAUCUCACAGCUUAACUGUGAAACUGCCAUUGAUACUGCAAGUCUUGAGUGUUGUUGAAGUAGCUGGAAUAAGUAGUGUAGCGGUGAAAUGCAUAGAUAUUACUUAGAACACCAAUUGCGAAGGCAGGUUACUAAGCAACAACUGACGCUGAUGGACGAAAGCGUGGGGAGCGAACAGGAUUAGAUACCCUGGUAGUCCACGCCGUAAACGAUGCUAACUCGUUUUUGGAGCGCAAGCUUCAGAGACUAAGCGAAAGUGAUAAGUUAGCCACCUGGGGAGUACGAACGCAAGUUUGAAACUCAAAGGAAUUGACGGGGCCCGCACAAGCGGUGGAUUAUGUGGUUUAAUUCGAUGAUACGCGAGGAACCUUACCAAGGCUUAAAUGGGAAAUGACAGGUUUAGAAAUAGACUUUUCUUCGGACAUUUUUCAAGGUGCUGCAUGGUUGUCGUCAGCUCGUGCCGUGAGGUGUUAGGUUAAGUCCUGCAACGAGCGCAACCCCUGUCACUAGUUGCCAUCAUUAAGUUGGGGACUCUAGUGAGACUGCCUACGCAAGUAGAGAGGAAGGUGGGGAUGACGUCAAAUCAUCACGGCCCUUACGCCUUGGGCCACACACGUAAUACAAUGGCCGGUACAGAGGGCAGCUACACUGCGAAGUGAUGCAAAUCUCGAAAGCCGGUCUCAGUUCGGAUUGGAGUCUGCAACUCGACUCUAUGAAGCUGGAAUCGCUAGUAAUCGCGCAUCAGCCAUGGCGCGGUGAAUACGUUCCCGGGCCUUGUACACACCGCCCGUCAAGCCAUGGAAGUCUGGGGUACCUGAAGUCGGUGACCGUAACAGAGC